RNAcentral lists this ribosomal RNA (370 nucleotides) under uncultured anaerobic ammonium-oxidizing bacterium. Its description in RNAcentral is "bacterial SSU rRNA". It matches the Rfam family "Bacterial small subunit ribosomal RNA", at positions 238 to 599 of the family's 1533-position model. The record is from RNAcentral.
CUAUCAGCUUGUUGGUGGGGUAAUGGCCUACCAAGGCAAAGACGGGUAGCCGGUCUAAGAGGAUGGUCGGCCACACUGGGACUGAGACACUGCCCAGACUCCUACGGGAGGCUGCAGUCGAGAAUCUUUCGCAAUGCCCGAAAGGGUGACGAAGCGACGCCGCGUGAGCGAAGAAGGCCUUAGGGUUGUAAAGCUCUGUCGAGGGUUAUGAAAUAUAGAUAGGUUAAUACCUUAUCUAUUUGACAAAGGCCCAAAAGGAAGCCACGGCUAACUCUGUGCCAGCAGCCGCGGUAAUACAGAGGUGGCAAGCGUUGUUCGGAAUUAUUGGGCGUAAAGAGCACGUAGGUGGUUUUGUAAGUCAGGUGUGAAA